GACGGUACCGUAAGAAUAAGCACCGGCUAACUACGUGCCAGCAGCCGCGGUAAUACGUAGGGUGCGUAGCGUUGAUCGGAAUUACUGGGCGUAAAGCGUGCGCAGGCGGUUAUCUAAGACAGAUGUGAAAUCCCCGGGCUCAACCUGGGAACUGCAUUUGGACUGCAUGGCUAGAGGCGGUAGAGGGGAAUGGAAUUCCGCUGUAGCAGUGAAAUGCGUAGAUAUGCGGAGGAACACCGAUGGCGAAGGCAACUCCCUGGACCUGUACUGACGCUCAUGCACGAAAGCGUGGGGAGCAACACGAUUAGAUACCCUGGUAGUCCACGCCCUAACGAUGUCAACUGGUUGUUGGGAAUUAGUCUUCUCAGUAACGAAGCUAACGCGU
RNAcentral lists this ribosomal RNA (385 nucleotides) under uncultured marine bacterium. RNAcentral's name for it is "bacterial SSU rRNA". It matches the Rfam family "Bacterial small subunit ribosomal RNA", at positions 471 to 860 of the family's 1533-position model. The record is from RNAcentral.